RNAcentral lists this long non-coding RNA (2201 nucleotides) under Mus spicilegus (steppe mouse). RNAcentral's name for it is "lncRNA (ENSMSIG00000013213.1)". The record is from RNAcentral. Lineage: Eukaryota; Metazoa; Chordata; Mammalia; Rodentia; Muridae.
CUACAUUCUGCUAUCUUCCCACCUCUUCCCUUGCAUAUGAGCUCUCCAAAUAUCCGGGCCUCUGUGCUUCACUCACAAGAAUCUAAAAGACAUCACAGCCACAUGGAGCUUUCUAUCACCUGGGCCUCUCUGUGGUUUGAAAGCUGCAACUAUUGACCCGAAUUUCUCCAAAGAAUAACUUCCUACGGGUAGAAUUGUGGACAUCAAGGUGUUUCAAAGACAUCUUUCAGGCACACACACCCCAGGCGGCUGUACUACGUUUGGAGUGAGAUUUUCUUUCUUCCUUUCUUUCUUUUAAAGAUUUUAUUUAUUUAUUAUAUAUAAGUAUACUGUAGCUCUCUUCAGACACACCAGAAGAGGGUGUCAGAUCUCAUCACAGAUGGUUGUGAGCCACCAUGUGGUUCCUGGGAUUUGAACUCAGGACCUUCGGAAGAACAGUCAGUGCUCUUAACCUCUGAGCCAUCUCUCCAGCCCGAGAUUUUCUUUCUUACUUAGACAAAAUAUAAAUGCUCUGGGGACCUCAGCUUGCUCUUGGAUGGGACACUGUGGCUUUAAGAAGCUCUGGGUUGAAGAGUGAGUUGGAGAGCUUUGAUUCUGGGGGUCCCCUUCUGGAGUUUGGGAUAAGGAUCAAUGUGGCAAAUACCUGGCAAGGAACUCUGGAUACAAAGGAACCGCAGAGGUCAAGCAUCUGCCCGCAUCCAAACCCUUCCUCACACCUGAAAUCAAGACCCCUUUUCCUGUGUGCCAAGCCCAAGGUGAUCUGGUCUCAACUACAAGGGCAGGAUGCUUGCUGCCCACGCAGCCUGCAUGGACGCAUGGUAGCUUUCCCUAAGCCCAGCUUCUUCCAGAAAGACAGAGACCACUGGAGACUCACCAUGCUCCCUUAGCAUGGAUUCCCUGAGAGUGCUCUGUCUGAGUCUAGUCUGCAAGAAGAGGGCCCCUCAUAUCUUCCUUGGGCAUCUUUUGGACCUGAUGUUCUUGGGAUGAGCAGGACAAGGGACCAAGCAUCACCCUUGACUUGCAUCACAGCUGGUACCAAGAUACUCAUCCCUGCCCCUUCUGCAGCCAUUGUGCUGGGGAGCAGUAGGGUCUAGAAACAUCUUCCCCACUUGCACUGGAUACUGCCAUGGCCUCUCCCUGCUCUGGAGACACACGGCCCUCAGGAAGCACUGAAAGAAGUAAUGAGACAGAGCGGCAAGACACUUGACAGCAGCCAGCCCUCCCAGCCUGAUGGCAUUCCCUGCCCUGUCCAGCAUCUGCUUCUGCAUCCUGAGCAAUGCACACUCCCUCUACAGAAGGUAGUUUGUCCCCUAUCCAAGGUGGGGAGGCUGGAGGGUUGUGGUUUGAGCACUUAGGACAGCUGCCACAUGCUAAAGAUGCACAAACAGCUUGGAGGCCGGGCUCCAGCUGGGAGUUGCCAGCAGUCCAGUCCCAGAGUGCAUUUUUGUAUUAAAGUCUUUCGGGUUACUUUUUGACUGGCUCUCAGACCCUGACGGUGAGUUUUACGUUGCUGAAUGUUGAGUCCAGUGUUUUCAUCUGCCCAGGUGUCUCUGCUGUGGAAAGUCUUUAGGAACCUAUCGGGGUUUCUCUUGGGACUUAGUCUUAUGGACUAAUGAUGCUAAAAUUCCUUCUUUGGACAGAGAGAUUAAGUGUCUAUUCCUCCCUCUAAGGUCCCAACAAAUCAAGGUGCAAUUCCACAGCAGUUCAGAGAGAACCAGAGUAUAUUUGGCCUAUAUACAGAGCAACCCGUGAGGGAUUACAGGCGGGAGCCCCGGGUGGCCUUAAAGAACCCCUACUGGGCAGUCUUCACCUGUCACAGCUGCCUCCACCACGGCUGUGUAGAUGGAGUUGGCUCCCCUUGUCCUUCCACACAUAUAUACUCUAGCUAGCACUUCCCUCGGGCAACAUGCAAUCUAGACGGAAUCUGAUUGGGAGGAAUGGCUGGAUGCUCAGGUGAAGAUCCCUGACCCACCCACCCCUCCUUCUAUAUAAAGGAAUAGCAACAGUCAACAAGCCCGCCAUAGUGAGAGAUUUCAAGAGACCCAGCAGACCUGAAGACGCGGCGGCGGCUUGGCUCCGAGGAUAGCCCUGCACAGCACUCCGAUCCUUUUGCCUCCUGCUCCUGUAUCCUUUCCACCCCUCCUUUCUGCAGGGGUCCGUGGUCCUUGGAGGGAGUAAUAAAGAUGUCUGACUGUUCUCCA